AAAGGGGGCUUUUGCCCCUUAGGGAAGAUGGGCGCGACUUGCCUUUAUAAGGCGGCGCCCCGCAUUCCCGGGGCGUCUCUUUUCUCUUAUUAAGAGUGGAGGCGCACCUAUAGCGCACACGCUGAUACCCGAAAGAUGGUGAACUAUGCCUGGCCAGGACGAAGCCAGGGGAAACCCUGGUGGAGGUCCGCAGCGAUUCUGACGUGCAAAUCGAUCGUCGGAGCUGGGUAUAGGGGCGAAAGGCCAAUCGAACCAUCUAGUAGCUGGUUCCCUCUGAAGUUUCCCUCAGGAUAGCUUGCGCUCGGAGAGAAGAGUCUCAUCCGGUAGAGCGAAUGAUUAGAGGCCUUGGGGUCGAAACGACCUCAACCUAUUCUCAAACUCCAAAUAGAUGAGAUGCCCGGCUUGCUUGAAAGUGAAGCCGGGACUCGGAUCGGAGUGCCAAGUGGGCCAAUUUU
Molecule: ribosomal RNA, 455 nt
Filed under: Anthocoris sp. S297
Lineage: Eukaryota; Metazoa; Arthropoda; Insecta; Hemiptera; Anthocoridae
Description: eukaryotic LSU rRNA
Rfam family: Eukaryotic large subunit ribosomal RNA
Source: RNAcentral